UUGGAGGGCAAGUCUGGUGCCAGCAGCCGCGGUAAUUCCAGCUCCAAUAGCGUAUAUUAAAGUUGUUGCAGUUAAAAAGCUCGUAGUUGAAUUUCGGGAUCAGAGUGUCGGUCGUGCCUCGGUACGCACUGGUAUUAUUGGUUCCUACCUUCUGAAGAACCGCGAUGUCAUUAAUUUGGUGUCGUGGGGAAUCAGGACUGUUACUUUGAAAAAUUAGAGUGUUUAAAGCAGGCUUACGCUUGAAUACAUUAGCAUGGAAUAAUGAAAUAGGACGUUUGAUUCUAUUUUGUUGGUUUCUAGGAUUGACGUAAUGAUUAAUAGGGAUAGUUGGGGGCAUUAGUAUUCAAUUGUCAGAGGUGAAAUUCUUGGAUUUAUUGAAGACUAACUACUGCGAAAGCAUUUGCCAAGGAUGUUUUCAUUAAUCAAGAACGAAAGUUAGGGGAUCGAAGACGAUCAGAUACCGUCGUAGUCUUAACCAUAAACUAUGCCGACUAGGGAUCGGAUGAUGUUAAUUUUUUAAUGACUCAUUCGGCGCCUUACGGGAAACCAAAGUGUUUGGGUUC
Molecule: ribosomal RNA, 563 nt
Filed under: uncultured Glomeromycotina
Lineage: Eukaryota; Fungi; Glomeromycota
Description: SSU rRNA
Rfam family: Eukaryotic small subunit ribosomal RNA
Source: RNAcentral